GCGGAGGGAUCAUUACUGAGUUUACGCUCUACAACCCUUUGUGAACAUACCUAUAACUGUUGCUUCGGCGGGUAGGGUCUCCGCGACCCUCCCGGCCUCCCGCCUCCGGGCGGGUCGGCGCCCGCCGGAGGAUAACCAAACUCUGAUUUAACGACGUUUCUUCUGAGUGGUACAAGCAAAUAAUCAAAACUUUUAACAACGGAUCUCUUGGUUCUGGCAUCGAUGAAGAACGCAGCGAAAUGCGAUAAGUAAUGUGAAUUGCAGAAUUCAGUGAAUCAUCGAAUCUUUGAACGCACAUUGCGCCCGCCAGCAUUCUGGCGGGCAUGCCUGUUCGAGCGUCAUUUCAACCCUCAAGCUCUGCUUGGUGUUGGGGCCCUACAGCUGAUGUAGGCCCUCAAAGGUAGUGGCGGACCCUCCCGGAGCCUCCUUUGCGUAGUAACUUUACGUCUCGCACUGGGAUCCGGAGGGACUCUUGCCGUAAAACCCCCCAAUUUUCCAAAGGUUGACCUCGGAUCAGGUA
This 520-nucleotide ribosomal RNA is filed under the name Colletotrichum gloeosporioides. Its description in RNAcentral is "eukaryotic LSU rRNA". The stretch from base 188 to 341 matches the Rfam family "5.8S ribosomal RNA". The record is from RNAcentral. Lineage: Eukaryota; Fungi; Ascomycota; Sordariomycetes; Glomerellales; Glomerellaceae.